UGGGGAAUAUUGCACAAUGGGCGGAAGCCUGAUGCAGCGACGCCGCGUGGGGGAUGAAGGCCUUCGGGUUGUAAACUCCUUUCGACAGGGACGAAGCUUUUGUGACGGUACCUGUAUAAGAAGCACCGGCUAACUACGUGCCAGCAGCCGCGGUAAUACGUAGGGUGCGAGCGUUGUCCGGAAUUACUGGGCGUAAAGAGCUCGUAGGUGGUUUGUCGCGUCGUCUGUGAAAUUCCGGGGCUUAACUCCGGGCGUGCAGGCGAUACGGGCUGACUUGAGUGCUGUAGGGGAGACUGGAAUUCCUGGUGUAGCAGUGAAAUGCGCAGAUAUCAGGAGGAACACCGAUGGCGAAGGCAGGUCUCUGGGCAGUAACUGACGCUGAGGAGCGAAAGCAGGGGUAGCGAACAGG
This 409-nucleotide ribosomal RNA is filed under the name Actinomycetes bacterium. Its description in RNAcentral is "Actinobacteria bacterium partial 16S ribosomal RNA". It matches the Rfam family "Bacterial small subunit ribosomal RNA", at positions 355 to 776 of the family's 1533-position model. Lineage: Bacteria; Bacillati; Actinomycetota; Actinomycetes. The record is from RNAcentral.